Molecule: long non-coding RNA, 1117 nt
Filed under: Chrysemys picta bellii (western painted turtle)
Lineage: Eukaryota; Metazoa; Chordata; Testudines; Emydidae
Description: lncRNA (ENSCPBG00000022936.1)
Source: RNAcentral
GACCUGGAGCACCGCCGGGUGAGUAAAAAUUAAAAAGGUGCCUCUAGCCAGGGAAGGGAUUCUCUGGAACUUGCCCCCCACUCUGGGCAUCCCUGCCACUGGGUGCGGGGCCCGAUUCAGGGGAAUUGGUGGAAUUGGCCUAAAGCCGGCCCUGGGGUACAUGGUGUUAAUUCCGAGCCAUGUGCUUGUGGGAGAUAGCCCAGGGUGGGGCAUCAAGUGUGCUCUGAGCUUAUCAAAGCUUGCUGGGUCUGGUCCUGGCCAGAGCCAAUGAAGAAACUUUAGAAGUGAGGGGAAGAGGAGAGGCUGUUAAAGCAGUCACCCUAUGAUAACAGCAGGGGAGACCUGAAAGCUGAUCCCCAGGAACUAGAAAGGCUUGAUGCUGGUUAUCGUUGACUGACGGGCAGGGUUAGAUGGUGGGACGAGGUGUAGCAAGAUGCCUAGAGGAGUCUUGAUGGGUACAGUACACAGAGCACAGUCCCACUUCAGCGGUGGUGGGACCGGUUCUGAUCUUGCACUGAUGUAGAUCCAGAGCAACUCCGUUGGAAUGGAACCACUGCCUGACUCAGCGCAAGAGCAGAAUUAGGACCAGCAAAAUGCUUGGUGUCUUGCUGCUGCUCAGUGUUGUGGGAAGGGGCUGAGUCCCGUUGGUCCCCUAGUGGCACUCAUGGUGUUCCCAGGGCUGAUGAGGUUGCUCCUUGGAUUUGUUUCAGUGACUUCGGGGGGAAUGAAUGGACUUGUACAGCAUAUUAGUCUGCUGAUCGUAAUCCUCCUGGUUGUACUACACACAAUCUGCUUACUUUGAAUCGUGAGGUUGAGGAUUCAUGUCCCUUCACCGCCAAAGCUCUCUUUCUUGAGGCAGCAUGGUCUUGUGGAUAGGACGGGCUGGGGGUCAUGUGACCUGAUUCUAUUCCAAGCUCUGCUGCUGACCUGCUGUGUUACCUUGGGUGAGUCAUGUCACUGCUCUUUGUCAUCCUACUCUUUCUGGCUUGUCUAUUUCUGUUGUAGCAGGGACUGUCUUAUGUAUUUGGAGCCCUGAUCUCAGUUAGGGGCCUGUAGGUGCUGCUGCAAUACAAAUAGGUAAUAACUUUCCUGGUUGUCAUCACCUUUGUUUCUUGGG